Molecule: non-coding RNA, 1290 nt
Organism: Microcebus murinus (gray mouse lemur)
Lineage: Eukaryota; Metazoa; Chordata; Mammalia; Primates; Cheirogaleidae
Source: RefSeq, a predicted model, not a curated record
CAAAUGCUUACAAAUCCUGCCAGGGCUUAUUUUACGGGUAGGUCUUAUUUUUGGGGAAACACGGUACUUCAUCAAGAAAUAUAUGGGAGGCAAAUAAACAUGUGCAAAGAUACUUAUCAGCGCUGCUGCUGCUGCCAUCACUGUCAGUAUGAGCAGUCUAGGGGACGCUUGCGCAGACGUGAAGCUCAAGUACCACCACUGCUUCAGUUGCUGGUUUGCCAAGAAGUUUCAAGGGGGACAGCUUGGGGAUCCAUGCACUGACCUAUUCAGGCAUUACCAGUAGUGUGUUAGAAAGCAAUAAAGGAGAAAGAGAUUCCCAUUGAAGGACUGGACUUCAUGGGCCAUGGCAAAGAAAAGCCUGAAAACUCUUCUUGACCUUGACAGUCACCUUGAAAAUGGAUUCCUCAAAUCAGGAAAUUAAGGACUCUGGAUUUUGUCAACUAAGGCUGUGAAUAUAGCCAUCAGAUUUGAUGAGGAAUUUAGGAGAGAGGAGUUUUAUUUCCUCCUCUUUGAUGUUUUCCUCUCACUUUUAAAAGGUAAUCAACUCUUUGCUUUGAGAUGAUUUCUCACUUGCUCUGGCAUCUUGCAGGAACUCAAUGUGCUAAAAUUGAAUAAUUUCUUGGGCUUAUGGUUGCAAUAUUUAGUCUGGGAUCAGCUUUACAUAUACUUUGUAUGUAGACAGCGAUGAACUAGUCAGGAUGAUCAAGAUUGCUUGACCUCUUGAUUUUCGUUGCAAUGGACAUUAUGUACACUGUGCUGGGCUCAUUGUUGAUGAAAGCAAUUCGUUAGGACCUCUUUUUUCUCUCAGGGAACUAAUGCUGUAAAAAGGGAUCUAGGCACAGUUUCAGUCAAUGCUUAGGAGCACAGUUUUAUUUUUAUAUAUUAUAGUAACUAAUGGUUAAGAUGACUGGUGGCCUGGAGUAGCAAAGAGGAAGACAGCUUUUAAUGGAUGGUUCCUGCCUUAAGGAGGCGCCACAUUAAAAUGUGAAAACUUCAAGAAUGUACAAGAAUGUUACACCAUUUGAGAGCUCACAGUGUAGUUCAGGAAUUAAGGUACUUGGAGUAGCUGUGGAGGAAGAACCUAAAUAGCAAAGAUUUGCUGUUGCCAGCUUUCAACCCAAGUCAGUGAAUUAAGUCAACCUGCAUAUCAUAAAAAUGCCAAAAUGCUGCAUCUGGUUAAAUGGGGGAGAAAAGGUGUUUGCUUUAUUUGCCUCGUUUACCCACUCUGCCCAGUAAUGUCUGUAAUCACGAAGAUGGAAUAAAUUGGAACAUUUAGUUUCUAUCAAAAAA